UACGAAGGGGGCUAGCGUUGUUCGGAAUUACUGGGCGUAAAGCGCGCGCAGGCGGUUUUCCAAGUCAGUGGUGAAAGCCCGGAGCUCAACUCCGGAAUUGCCAUUGAAACUGCAAAACUUGAGUACGAGAGAGGUGAGUGGAAUUCCUAGUGUAGAGGUGAAAUUCGUAGAUAUUGGGAGGAACACCAGUGGCGAAGGCGGCUACCUGGACCGGUUCUGACGCUGAGGCGCGAAAGCGUGGGUAGCAAACAGG
Molecule: ribosomal RNA, 253 nt
Filed under: uncultured bacterium
Lineage: Bacteria
Description: partial 16S ribosomal RNA
Rfam family: Bacterial small subunit ribosomal RNA
Source: RNAcentral